GGCGAUAUGGCUCAGUGGUUAAGAGCACUGACUGCUCUUCCAGAGGUCCUGAGUUCAAUUCCCAGUAACCCCA
RNAcentral lists this transfer RNA (73 nucleotides) under Rattus norvegicus (Norway rat). It matches the Rfam family "tRNA". Rfam says of the family: Transfer RNA (tRNA) molecules are approximately 80 nucleotides in length. Their secondary structure includes four short double-helical elements and three loops (D, anti-codon, and T loops). Further hydrogen bonds mediate the characteristic L-shaped molecular structure. tRNAs have two regions of fundamental functional importance: the anti-codon, which is responsible for specific mRNA codon recognition, and the 3' end, to which the tRNAs corresponding amino acid is attached (by aminoacyl-tRNA synthetases). tRNAs cope with the degeneracy of the genetic code in two manners: having more than one tRNA (with a specific anti-codon) for a particular amino acid; and 'wobble' base-pairing, i.e. permitting non-standard base-pairing at the 3rd anti-codon position. The record is from Rfam by way of RNAcentral. Lineage: Eukaryota; Metazoa; Chordata; Mammalia; Rodentia; Muridae.